AUCAACAACAACAACACACACACACACACACACACACACACACACACACACCACAUGAUUGCUUGCUUGCUUAGGGAGGAAUCAGAGCUUCAAAAGUGAGCUGAUUCCAGCCACCAGCUGUCAUCAUAUGAGGAGCUCUUGUGAGUUGAUCGCCCAUGAAAGAGGAAUGAGCCUCUAAACAUGGCCACAGCUCAGUGAUACUGACCAACCAGACAUACCUUUGCUGGACCUAUGCAAACAUGAAACAGACCCUAAGAUGUGGAACUGCCUGAAGUGAGCAAUCUGACCACCAGGGGGCAGCAUGAGUCCAUCGCUUUGUCUGAAAACAGACAGGUCCUAGUCAGCGGCCCUCCUCUCCAAGCAAGCUGAGUCUGCACGUUGGAGUCAUCUGAUGAGCUUUUAGAAAACUGCAGGUGGGUGGGCUCACUUCAAUUGCCAUCUCCUGUCUUCGGGAGUGGGGCGUGGACAUCGCCAUUAUUUAAAAGUUCCUCAGGUGAG
RNAcentral lists this long non-coding RNA (498 nucleotides) under Homo sapiens (human). Its description in RNAcentral is "HSALNT0362221". Lineage: Eukaryota; Metazoa; Chordata; Mammalia; Primates; Hominidae. The record is from RNAcentral.